AGUGGUGGAGCUGUGCCUGAGCCACGGGCUGGGCCCGGUGGCCUUGGCCAACGAGCUCCUGGCCUUCGUCACCAGCAAAGACCUCGACCUCCAGCUCACCCCCGACGGCCUCGACGCCUUCGAGCACGAGGUCCUGGCCAAGAGGAACGUCCGGAGCCAGCGCAGGAAGGACAAGCCCAGGGGGGGACUCCACGACAUCCACUCCCUGCAGGAGCUCCUCGAUGAGGAAGAGGAGGACGAGCUGCUGGACGCCUACACCACGCCCUCCAAGGGCUCCCAAAA
This is a long non-coding RNA of Corapipo altera (White-ruffed manakin), 282 nucleotides long. RefSeq lists it as uncharacterized. The record is from RefSeq and is a predicted model, not a curated record. Lineage: Eukaryota; Metazoa; Chordata; Aves; Passeriformes; Pipridae. The transcript has 4 exons.